This 472-nucleotide ribosomal RNA is filed under the name uncultured bacterium. RNAcentral describes it as "bacterial SSU rRNA". It matches the Rfam family "Bacterial small subunit ribosomal RNA", at positions 355 to 825 of the family's 1533-position model. The record is from RNAcentral.
UGGGGAAUUUUGGACAAUGGGCGCAAGCCUGAUCCAGCCAUGCCGCGUGUGGGAAGAAGGCCUUCGGGUUGUAAACCACUUUUGUCAGGGAAGAAACGGCCUGAUCUAAUACAUUGGGUUAAUGACGGUACCUGAAGAAUAAGCACCGGCUAACUACGUGCCAGCAGCCGCGGUAAUACGUAGGGUGCGAGCGUUAAUCGGAAUUACUGGGCGUAAAGCGUGCGCAGGCGGCUUUGCAAGACAGAUGUGAAAUCCCCGGGCUCAACCUGGGAACUGCAUUUGUGACUGCAAGGCUAGAGUACGGUAGAGGGGGAUGGAAUUCCGCGUGUAGCAGUGAAAUGCGUAGAUAUGCGGAGGAACACCGAUGGCGAAGGCAAUCCCCUGGACCUGUACUGACGCUCAUGCACGAAAGCGUGGGGAGCAAACAGGAUUAGAUACCCUGGUAGUCCCUGAGCGGGCUGGCAAGGCGCAU